Caenorhabditis elegans is the source of this 196-nucleotide non-coding RNA. Lineage: Eukaryota; Metazoa; Nematoda; Chromadorea; Rhabditida; Rhabditidae. The record is from Ensembl.
CAGGAAGCCUUUAACGCUGCCCCAACAUAAAAGCGAGUCUGAACGAGGAGGUUGAGGAGGAGAAGCAGCACACAAAAAAGUCGAAGAUAGCUUUCUAUUUAAGAGCAUUUUUGCUCCACCAAACCUUCACUCAACCAUAGGAUUAUUGCUCGAAAAAGUGAGGUGUACGGCGUCGGUGCCCCCGCCAACCUUUUUU